GUAGGUGGCAAGCGUUGUCCGGAAUUAUUGGGCGUAAAGCGCGCGCAGGCGGUUCUUUAAGUCUGAUGUGAAAGCCCACGGGCUCAACCGUGGAGGGUCAUUGGAAACUGGAGAACUUGAGUACAGAAGAGGAAAGCGGAAUUCCACGUGUAGCGGUGAAAUGCGUAGAGAUGUGGAGGAACACCAGUGGCGAAGGCGGCUUUCUGGUCUGUAACUGACGCUGAGGCGCGAAAGCGUGGGGAGCAAACAGGAUUAGAUACCCUGGUAGUCCACGCCGUAAACGAUGAGUGCUAAGUGUUAGGGGGUUUCCGCCCCUUAGUGCUGCAGCUAACGCAUUAAGCACUCCGCCUGGGGAGUACGGCCGCAAAGGCUG
Molecule: ribosomal RNA, 373 nt
Filed under: uncultured organism
Description: partial 16S ribosomal RNA
Rfam family: Bacterial small subunit ribosomal RNA
Source: RNAcentral